Molecule: ribosomal RNA, 440 nt
Filed under: uncultured bacterium
Lineage: Bacteria
Description: partial 16S ribosomal RNA
Rfam family: Bacterial small subunit ribosomal RNA
Source: RNAcentral
CCUACUGGUGGCAGCAGUGGGGGAUAUUGCACAAUGGGGGGAACCCUGAUGCAGCGACGCCGCGUGGGUGAAGAAGCGCCUCGGCGCGUAAAGCCCUGUCAGCAGGGAAGAAAAUGACGGUACCUGAAGCAGAAGCCCCGGCUAACUACGUGCCAGCAGCCGCGGUACUACGUCGGGGGCAAGCGUGAUCCGGAUUUACUGGGUGUAACGGGGGCGCAGACGGCGAUGCAAGCCAGGAGUGAAAGCCCGGGGCCCAACCCCGGGACUGCCCUUGAAACUGCGUGGCUUGAGUGCAGGAGGGGCAGGCGGAAUUCCUGGUGUAGCGGUGAAAUGCAUAGAUAUCACGCAGAACUCCGAUUGCGAAGGCAGCAUACCGGCGCCCAACUGACGCUGAAGCACGAAAGCGUGGGUAUCGAACAGGAUUAGAUACCUUAGUAGUC